Molecule: non-coding RNA, 58 nt
Filed under: Palpitomonas bilix
Lineage: Eukaryota
Source: RNAcentral
UCAAAAAAAAAAAAAAAAAAAAAAAAAAGUAAUCGCGUAUCGCAUUUGCAUCUUUUUG